UUCAAAUCCUAUUGGACGCA
RNAcentral lists this transfer RNA (20 nucleotides) under Psathyrostachys juncea. RNAcentral describes it as "partial tRNA-Arg". The record is from RNAcentral. Lineage: Eukaryota; Viridiplantae; Streptophyta; Magnoliopsida; Poales; Poaceae.